CAAAGCACUGCGAUGGUCCCAACGGAUGUUUACACAACGUGAAUUUUGUCUAGUGCUAUGAAUGUCCAAGUGAAGAAAUUCAACCAUGCGGGGGUAAACGGUCGGAGUAACUAUGACUCUUUUAAGGUAGCCAAAUGCCUCUUCAUCUAAUUAGUGAUUCGUAUGAAUGUAUUAAUAAGAUUCCCACUGUCUCUGUCUAAUAUACAGCGAAACCACAGCCAAGGGAACAUGAUUGGCAGAAUCAACGGGGAAAAAAGACCAUUUUGAGCUUGAAUCAAGUCCGACUUUAUGAAAUGACUUGAGAGGUGUAGUAUAAGUGGGAGUUGAAAGGCGAAAGUGAAAUACCACUACUUUUAACGUUAUUUUACUUAUUUCGUGAAUCGGAAGCGGGGGACUACCCUCUUUUUGGACCCAAGACUCGAUUUGCGGGUCGAUCAGGGGGAAGACAUUGUCAAGUGGGGAGUUUGGCUGGGGUGGCACAUCUAUUACAAGAUAACUCAGGUGUCCUAAGAUGAGCUAAAUGAAAAUAGAAAAAUAGUGUGGAUCAGAAGGACAAAAGCUCGUUUGAUCCUGAUUUCCAGUACGAAUACGAACCGUGAAUGUGUGGCCUAACGAUCUUUUAGACUUUCAGAGUUCUAAGCUGGAGGUGUCAGAAAAGUUACCACAAGGAUAACUAGCUUGUGGCAGCCAAGCUAUAUAGCGAAAUUUCUAUUUGAUCCUUCGAUGUCGGCUCUUCCUAUCAUUGUGAAGCAAAAUUCACCAAGUGUUGGAUUGUUCACCCACAAAUAGGGAACGUGAGCUGGGUUUACACCAUCGUAAGAGAGGUUAGUUUUACCCUACUGAUGACAGUGUCGCAAUAGUAAUUAAACCUAGUAAGAGAGGAACCGUUAUGUGUAGGCCUCGGCCAGGCAUCACCAGCGAUGGCCUGCACACAUCGAUCAACCGAGGUCGCACGUGGCCUGCCAAAAUAAAUUGUGUCCUGCAGACACCGAUUUGCCGACGUCGGACGAGGCCUGCCUACAUAGAUCAGCCGACGUCGGAUGUGGCCUUUUCCCAUCGUCCGUGG
Non-coding RNA from Solanum tuberosum (potato), 1066 nucleotides. The record is from Rfam. Lineage: Eukaryota; Viridiplantae; Streptophyta; Magnoliopsida; Solanales; Solanaceae.